GUUUGAACCAACGACGGCUACGGUCAGAGGAAUACAUUCAUCUCCGCGAUGCUAUAAAUGCUGAUGGCAAUGUGAAUAAUGUAGGAAGAAUGACAAUUUUGCCAGCUACUUAUAUAGGAAGCCCACGCCACAUGCAUGAAUAUGCUCAGGAUGCUAUGUCAUAUGUUAGGCAUUAUGGCCGCCCAGACUUAUUUGUUACAUUCACAUGUAACCCAAAAUGGUCCGAAAUCAAGAAGGAAUUACUACAUAGCCAAACACCAGUUGAUAGACAUGACAUAACCGCCAGAGUUUUUAAACAAAAAUUAAAAUCUCUCAUGAAUUUUUUAAUAAAGCAUUGUGUGUAUGGCCGAGUCCGUUGUUGGAUGUACUCUGUAGAAUGGCAAAAGCGUGGAUUGCCACAUGCGCACAUUUUAGUCUGAUGAAAUAGUUGACCCAAAAUUGCAUGCAGUAGUUA
Long non-coding RNA from Drosophila kikkawai, 454 nucleotides. RefSeq lists it as uncharacterized. The record is from RefSeq and is a predicted model, not a curated record. NCBI's taxonomy places the organism in Eukaryota, Metazoa, Arthropoda, Insecta, Diptera, Drosophilidae.